Molecule: ribosomal RNA, 450 nt
Filed under: uncultured bacterium
Lineage: Bacteria
Description: partial 16S ribosomal RNA
Rfam family: Bacterial small subunit ribosomal RNA
Source: RNAcentral
CCUACGGGGGGCUGCAGUAAGGAAUAUUGGUCAAUGGACGAAAGUCUGAACCAGCCAUCCCGCGUGUAGGAUGAAAGCCCUAGGGGUUGUAAACUGCUUUUAGCAGAGAAGAAAAGCUUUCAUUAAUGAGAGUCUGACGGUAUCUGCAGAAUAAGCACCGGCUAACUCCGUGCCAGCAGCCGCGGUAAUACGGAGGGUGCGAGCGUUAGCCGGAAUGACUGGGGCGAAAGGGGAGUAUUGAGGAGGAGGUGAAAUCUUGUCGCUUAACGAUAAAAUUGCCAAUGAUCCUGGUACUCUUGAAUUGGGUUGAGGUUAGCGGAAUGUGACAUGUAGCGGUGAAAUGCAUAGAUAUGUCAUGGAACACCAAUUGCGAAGGCAGCUAACUGGGCCUUGAUUGACGCUGAGGCACGAAAGCGUGGGUAGCGAACAGGAUUAGAUACCCGGGUAGUC